UCCUGGCUCAGGAUGAACGCUGGCGGCGUGCCUAACACAUGCAAGUCGAACGGAGAUAUUGCUUGGAAGCUUUUCGAGGUGAAAGAGAAGUAUCUUAGUGGCGGACGGGUGAGUAACGCGUGGGCAACCUGCCUCAUACAGGGGGAUAGCAUCGGGAAACUGGUGGUAAAACCGCAUAAGCGCACGAGGACGCAUGUUUUUGUGUGAAAAGGAGAAAUCUGGUAUGAGAUGGACCCGCGUCUGAUUAGCUAGUUGGAGUGGUAAAAGCACACCAAGGCAACGAUCAGUAGCCGGCCUGAGAGGGUGGACGGCCACAUUGGGACUGAGACACGGCCCAGACUCCUACGGGAGGCAGCAGUGGGGAAUAUUGCACAAUGGAGGGAACUCUGAUGCAGCGACGCCGCGUGAGUGAAGAAGUAAUUCGUUAUGUAAAGCUCUAUCAGCAGGGAAGAAAGUGACGGUACCUGAAAAAGAAGCUCCGGCUAAAUACGUG
Molecule: ribosomal RNA, 493 nt
Filed under: uncultured Lachnospiraceae bacterium
Lineage: Bacteria; Bacillati; Bacillota; Clostridia; Lachnospirales; Lachnospiraceae
Description: bacterial SSU rRNA
Rfam family: Bacterial small subunit ribosomal RNA
Source: RNAcentral